GAUGAACGCUGGCGGCGUGCCUAAUACAUGCAAGUCGAGCGAACGGACGAGAAGCUUGCUUCUCUGAUAUUAGCGGCGGACGGGUGAGUAACACGUGGAUAACCUACCUAUAAGACUGGGAUAACUUCGGGAAACCGGAGCUAAUACCGGAUAAUAUUUUGAACCGCAUGGUUCAAAAGAGAAAGACGGUCUUGCUGUCACUUAUAGAUGGAUCCGCGCUGCAUUAGCUAGUUGGUAAGGUAACGGCUUACCAAGGCAACGAUGCAUAGCCGACCUGAGAGGGUGAUCGGCCACACUGGAACUGAGACACGGUCCAGACUCCUACGGGAGGCAGCAGUAGGGAAUCUUCCGCAAUGGGCGAAAGCCUGACGGAGCAACGCCGCGUGAGUGAUGAAGGUCUUCGGAUCGUAAAACUCUGUUAUUAGGGAAGAACAUAUGUGUAAGUAACUGUGCACAUCUUGACGGUACCUAAUCAGAAAGCCACGGCUAACUACGUG
This 497-nucleotide ribosomal RNA is filed under the name uncultured bacterium. RNAcentral's name for it is "partial 16S ribosomal RNA". It matches the Rfam family "Bacterial small subunit ribosomal RNA", at positions 28 to 507 of the family's 1533-position model. The record is from RNAcentral.